UUUCCGUAGGUGAACCUGCGGAAGGAUCAUUAAUGAAGCAACCUACAGCUCUGAGGGAUUGCUGCUGGCCUCCACCGGGCAUGUGCACGUCUCCUAGUUCUGUAGGACUCACCUUCAUCCACCUGUGCACCCCUGUAGGCCUGGAUUACCCGCUCGCAGAUUGACUUCUGCGGAUUGAAGGUUGCUCUCAGUAGCUUCCUUUGUCUUCCAGGUCUAUGUUCAAUUAUACUCUUUGUAUGUCUUGAAUGUCUUGUUUAUUGGACCUAGUCCUUUAAAACUCAAUACAACUUUCAACAACGGAUCUCUUGGCUCUCGCAUCGAUGAAGAACGCAGC
This 334-nucleotide unclassified non-coding RNA is filed under the name uncultured fungus. Its description in RNAcentral is "sequence contains ITS1, 5.8S rRNA gene". The stretch from base 286 to 334 matches the Rfam family "5.8S ribosomal RNA", at positions 1 to 49 of the family's 154-position model. Lineage: Eukaryota; Fungi. The record is from RNAcentral.